UACGAAGGGGGCUAGCGUUGCUCGGAAUCACUGGGCGUAAAGCGCACGUAGGCGGACUCUUAAGUCGGUGGUGAAAUCCUGGAGCUCAACUCCAGAACUGCCUUUGAUACUGGCGAUCUCGAGUCCGGGAGAGGUGAGUGGAACUGCGAGUGUAGAGGUGAAAUUCGUAGAUAUUCGUAAGAACACCAGUGGCGAAGGCGGCUCACUGGCCCGGUACUGACGCUGAGGUGCGAAAGCGUGGGGAGCAAACAGG
This 253-nucleotide ribosomal RNA is filed under the name uncultured bacterium. RNAcentral describes it as "partial 16S ribosomal RNA". It matches the Rfam family "Bacterial small subunit ribosomal RNA", at positions 524 to 776 of the family's 1533-position model. The record is from RNAcentral.